This is a long non-coding RNA of Uranotaenia lowii, 916 nucleotides long. RefSeq lists it as uncharacterized. The transcript has 2 exons. NCBI's taxonomy places the organism in Eukaryota, Metazoa, Arthropoda, Insecta, Diptera, Culicidae. The record is from RefSeq and is a predicted model, not a curated record.
GUAACCGCUCGAAUAGAAUUGUACGAUGAAAAAACCAUGAAUUCCAUAAUCACAAACCAUAAAUUUUAUGGUCUACACAAUGAAUAUUAUCGUCUCCGAUACCGUGAAUGUACAUUGGAAUUCAUAGUUUCCGACCAUACAUUUCACUGUUUUGGCGAAAAUAACCAUGAAAAAGGGGUAUUGUUAUGCAGCGUGACCAUGAAAAAAAUGGCGUUUUCCCAUACAUUUGGAAGCUCAAAAAUAUGAAGUUCAUGGUGAUUACAGCUUCCACUUUUUCACAAUAAAACCAUGAAAAUCCGUUUAUUUCCAUUGUUUAAACGAAGAUGGAAAUCAAGGUUUUUCAAUGGUAUGUGGAAAAACAAGACUCCUUAAAUUGUCAAGAAUCUAUUGCAGCAAAUCCGUCAUCGUUCCCAAUAACUCGCAAAUGUCUGAGUUGCCGUCCAUUCUCGGGUUUCUGUCGGGUUUUUAUUUUUCCACCGUGGCUGGAAGCGGAGCAUUCUUCGGUGUGCGUGAUCCAGGUUUGAAGCAGUAUGAUACGGCGUGUGGUCAUACCCGUUUCCGAGCCAAAUUUACCGGAACUAAGUUGCCCGUCUUGGAGUGUCCACUGUAAAAUAAAUUAAUAAUAAAUAUAAACAAAUAUUAAACAAUUAUUCUUGAAAUGUACUCACCACCAAAGUUUUCGCUGUUCUUUCCGUUGACCAGGAGCUGAGCUGGGUUGAGCUAAUACCAGGCAGUUUGGGACAAGGGAUUCCAUCAAUCGUACCUUCCGAUGGCAUCUUCCCGAUCUCACACUUCACCGAAAGCUUUUUCCGCUGCCCCAGGAACGGCGCCCAAAAGGAAGUACUAUUUGUUUCACCUUUCAGAAAGAGAGUGAAUACAUUAAUUUCAAUAAACCUAUAGCUAUUCAUAAAACGAA